CCAACUUCAGGCUGGAGCUGAUGAUGCCACACAGAUAUAAAAGAUUCAGGACGUAGUGCUCGUGGUUGGGGUCGGGGACAUGGCAAGACAGGAGCGGAAGAGAGAGACGGAGAAGACGCAGGGGAACUGCAUCUGCCUCUGCUGCUCAGGAACAGCGUUGAGACCGGCGCAGGGACCAUGGGUGGGAGAGUCCUGAUGUACUCAAUGUAUAAUAUUAGGCAGAAACCCAAUAUAAAAAGAAAAGCAGAGUUGUUGUAGAUUCAUCGAGGGUUGGCGACCUGGUUCCAAUGAGCCAUCUCCCUGUUCCGACAGGGGCUUCCUGGAGCUCCUGCAACCCCAGGCAUUAGUUCCGGUGCAGUUCUAGGAUCAGAUCAAUUCACUCGACAACAAGAGAAACAAAUGGAGAUUCCUACACAAAGACUUUCAAGCACAAAGAAAUCCUGCUGCCUGUAAAGCGGAGCUGCCUCAGCCCUUGAUGAACGACAGAAAAUCUCACAUUCCAGGAAUUCAGAUGAAGUGAAGUGCUCUCAUGGGGACCAGGCAUGGUUAUGCCAGUCCACUGCCCUGCAAGCCUCAAGGGAAGCCAACUGCCCUUCAGCAAGUCACACCUGCCUUGGUGGAGGCCUUGAUUGGAAGUGCCACACGCUACAUGUCCAGUCCUGAGCGGGAGAAUCGGUGUAGGGACGUUCUGGGGAUGCCAGCUGUGGCCAGAUCAGGUCCAACUACAGAAGAAUAAUGAAGACUCCACCUGAGGGCUGGAAAAACAAAACCUCAAGUGUGAGGCAGCCAACCUGUUACCUCGAGGGACUGUUCCGCAGCACAGCGGGGCCAUGGGAACAGCAGCAGACACCCCGACCUCCUCGCUACCUGUAUCAACUAUGGCCUGAGUAUGAUAGACUUAUCCAUGGUUUAAACAGAAUAUAUUGUUUUCAACUUUGAAAAUAAGAAUAUGGAAAUCCAGAUGCAGAAAUGUGAGAAGAAAAGAGAGUAAACAGAGUGGAAGGUCAGGUGACCUUGCCUGUCAUGAAUAUGAAGGUCAAGGUGUGUGAAUUGUGAAAUUUCCAAGAGAACCUCACUGAAGCAAAGAAUGAAGAAAGAAUUGCAUUUGGCCCUGGGAGGGUGCAGGGGUGAAUGGUGCAGGAGCUAAAUCUUUAUCAUACCCAGAAAUCAACAGCCACUAUUUGAAAUCAUCUAAAUUCGUGCUGCUAACCUUCAGUGUACACACGAAUCACCUGGGGAUCUUACUAAAAGCUAGUUUCUGAUUCACUAAAUCUGUGUGUGGUGGAAGUUGAGGGCAGAGAAGCUCCCGAGGGUGUCAAGCUGACUCUGAACCCGACUUUGAGGGUUAAGGUCCCAAAUGGCAUCGCCAGCACCAGGGACAGACACUAAAAUUGUAGAAAUCGUCUCAAGAAAUGAACAGCCUCUAAGUCAGAUGUUGAAUGUGAAAGAAAUCAGGGUGUGUACGUGUGUGUGCAUUUGUGUGUGCACGUGUGUGCCUGUGUUUGUCUCUGUGCAUGUAUGUUUCUAUGUGUGCACAUGUGUGUAUGUGUCUGUACAUGUGUGUUUCUGUGUGUGUGCCUGUGUGUGUAUUGGCUUAGAUCUGUUCGAGACUUUUUAUUUGAUGAGAUCGAUAUAUGCCACCACUUUUGGAAAGGACAACGUAUAUACAAAGACAAUGAUUACUUAUGUAAUGUGAACGGAGUCUCUCUUCGAC
This 1714-nucleotide long non-coding RNA is filed under the name Homo sapiens (human). RNAcentral describes it as "non-protein coding lnc-ALKAL2-2:12". The record is from RNAcentral. Lineage: Eukaryota; Metazoa; Chordata; Mammalia; Primates; Hominidae.